CCUACGGGUUGCAGCAGUGAGGAAUAUUGCGCAAUGGGGGCAACCCUGACGCAGCGACGCCGCGUGGAUGAUGAAGGUCUUCGGGUUGUAAAAUCCUGUCAGAUGGGAAGAAGUGGUAGGUGGUCAAUAUCCAUGUACUUUGACGGUACCAUCAAAGGAAGCACCGGCUAACUCCGUGCCAGCAGCCGCGGUAAUACGGAGGGUGCAAGCGUUGUUCGGAAUUACUGGGCGUAAAGCGCGCGUAGGCGGCUAUUUAAGUCAGAUGUGAAAGCCCGCGGCUCAACCGUGGAAGUGCAUUUGAAACUGGGUAGCUUGAGUACUGGAGGGGGUAGUGGAAUUCCCGGUGUAGAGGUGAAAUUCGUAGAUAUCGGGAGGAAUACCGGUGGCGAAGGCGACUACCUGGCCAGAUACUGACGCUGAGGUGCGAAAGCGUGGGGAGCAAACAGGAUUAGAUACCCUAGUAGUC
Molecule: ribosomal RNA, 466 nt
Filed under: uncultured bacterium
Lineage: Bacteria
Description: bacterial SSU rRNA
Rfam family: Bacterial small subunit ribosomal RNA
Source: RNAcentral